AUGCACGCUGGCGGCGUGCCUAAUACAUGCCAGUCGAGCGAACGGACGAGAAGCUUGCUUCUCUGAUGUUAGCGGCGGCCGGGUGAGUAACACGUGGAUAACCUACCUAUAAGACUGGGAUAACUUCGGGAAACCGGAGCUAAUACCGGAUAAUAUUUUGAACCGCAUGGUUCAAAAGUGAAAGACGGUCUUGCUGUCACUUAUAGAUGGAUCCGCGCUGCAUUAGCUAGUUGGUAAGGUAACGGCUUACCAAGGCAACGAUGCAUAGCCGACCUGAGAGGGUGAUCGGCCACACUGGAACUGAGACACGGUCCAGACUCCUACGGGAGGCAGCAGUAGGGAAUCUUCCGCAAUGGGCGAAAGCCUGACGGAGCAACGCCGCGUGAGUGAUGAAGGUCUUCGGAUCGUAAAACUCUGUUAUUAGGGAAGAACAUAUGUGUAAGUAACUGUGCACAUCUUGACGGUACCUAAUCAGAAAGCCACGGCUAACUACGUG
RNAcentral lists this ribosomal RNA (496 nucleotides) under uncultured bacterium. Its description in RNAcentral is "partial 16S ribosomal RNA". It matches the Rfam family "Bacterial small subunit ribosomal RNA", at positions 29 to 507 of the family's 1533-position model. The record is from RNAcentral.